GCUCGAAUGGCGGAACUGGUAGACGCGCUGCAUUCAGGGUGCAGUCGAAGUAAUUUCGGUGAGGGUUCGAGUCCCUCUUUGAGCACUA
Molecule: transfer RNA, 88 nt
Filed under: Ignavibacteria bacterium
Lineage: Bacteria; Pseudomonadati; Ignavibacteriota; Ignavibacteria
Description: tRNA-Leu
Rfam family: tRNA
About the family: Transfer RNA (tRNA) molecules are approximately 80 nucleotides in length. Their secondary structure includes four short double-helical elements and three loops (D, anti-codon, and T loops).
Source: RNAcentral